ACCUACGGGACGCAGCAGUGAGGAAUAUUUGUCGAUGGUCGGUAGACUGAACCAGCCAAGCCGCGUGAGGGAUGAAGGUACAGAGUAUCGUAAACCUCUUUUGUCAGGGAACAAAGGCGGGGACGCGUCCCCGGAUGAGUGUACCUGAAGAAAAAGCAUCGGUUAACUCCGUGCCAGCAGCCGCGGUAAUACGGAGGAUGCGAGCGUUAUCCGGAUUUAUUGGGUUUAAAGGGUGCGCAGGCGGUCUGUUAAGUCAGCGGUCAAAGCCCGGGGCUCAACCCCGGCCCGCCGUUGAAACUGGCAGG
RNAcentral lists this ribosomal RNA (305 nucleotides) under uncultured bacterium. RNAcentral describes it as "bacterial SSU rRNA". It matches the Rfam family "Bacterial small subunit ribosomal RNA", at positions 337 to 640 of the family's 1533-position model. The record is from RNAcentral.